CCACAACCCCGAGAUACGUCAUCCAGGGGCGGGGUCAGGACUCCAGGGGAGAGGGAAGUUGGCGGUCAUGGCUGCCCAGCGGCGCCGCAGAGCCAGAAAGAGGCCGCUGAGGUCACUGCGCGGAUGGUGGAGAGAGUGUCGACACCUCAAGGGAGCCUUGUGGCCGGGAAGAGAGAAGGCCCCGGACGGAGGGCAAGCGAGAGGAGCCCGAGUGGGGCGGGGGGGCCGGCCUAGGCGGACUGCCCACCGCCCGACCUGCCCCGCGUGGGAGGGGCCCGGCGCUCCACCUCGGGAGCAGGCUGCUCUUCCCUUUCCCAGGAAGCCGCUCCUUGCCGCGCCCCUGCCUGGCGAUGGGAGACAGCUCAGCAGAAGGCCCUCCAAGAAGAGAAGUGAGCAGGGCCCUGGGGCGCGGGUCUGGCCUCAGCCUCUCUCAGAAUUUCUAGGAGCCAUUCUGGAGCCAUCAGUGAGCAGAGACACAAAUUAUCCGGGGACACCCAGGCCCCCCCAGUCGAGGCAUCUGGCAAGGCUCAGAGUGCUCUUUGAGCUUCUGUACCCACCGGGACCAUCUCCCAGUCCUUGAGCACAGGGGUUAAAAUGGCCCAUUUAGAGACCACGUGCCUCCUGACGGAAGAACACCACACGUGAGAAUCACCCACACACAACUCCGGGUCUACAGCAGAUAUGUGGCUGGGGGCGAAAUGUGAGACGGCUAGGCUGCUUCAGACAGGAGAAGCGACCUGAGGAGAGAGAGACUCAAGAGGCGCAUCAACCAGUCAGGACACGCGGACCUGAGACAUUUUCCUAGACCAUCCAGGGAACGAGAACCCUGACUGGGCACUAGGAUGCCGAUGGCCUCCUUGUUGCAUUCUAGGAAACCAUCUCCUAGAAAUACAAACUGAAAUAUGAGGUGAUACCCAGGCUUCACUCGGAACGAACAACCAGUUCCCAGGGCCCAAGGGCUCUGCAUCCUGGCCACUAACUGGAGUUACCUGCUGCUCAUCCCCGUGGCCAGUGGCCUCCUGGUCUUCCCUGGCAAGGCCCCAGCUUUCCACUCUCCUACCUCCUGAAGCCUCUGCUAUUCCCAGGCCAGAACCCACCAAGAUCUCUUCCACAUCGGAUCCUACUUGGCCUCAGCCUCUCAGAUGGGGUCAAGUUCUGCCCACAGUGCCUCUUGACCUUGUGGCCUACAGUUCCUCAGACCAAUGCACCAGAGUGGCACAGCUCCCCCUUCCCCUGGUGGGUGCCAAAGGUAACGCUCGCUGCCCUUUGUAAAGCGCCUACUAAGUUCUGGCGCUGUGUUGGGCGCUCUCCAUCUGACACCCUGUCUCAUCUGCACAAACCCCCUAUUUCAGCUAAGGAGUACAGAUGAAACAAGGGCCUAGGGCCACAGAGGGGGCUCGAGCAGCAGCCCAGCUCUGCGGGGACACGGCCACAGGGGGGUCUGAGUGGCCCCCACCUGGCCUCAGACUCAGUCUCCUGCAGCACUUGACUCCCAGAUGCCCAGCUGUCCCCCCAAGCCCUUCGCUUCUGGCCCCUCGUAUCAAAUUCUGCCCUCCUAAAUAGCUGUGGUGUAUUUUUCUGGUUGAGUUGGAUUGAGUCAGGGAGGGCUUUGCAGGGUGGGCCAUACGGGGGUCUUCAGAAGGACCUGCAGGAGAUCUCAGGGCACUGGGGAGAGGGGUGGGCUGGAGGCUGGAGGUGGGAGGUCCAUGCCUCAUGGGUGGGAGGGCAGGCGAGGUUAGGACGGAUGAGCCUCAACUGGCUGGCCCAAGACGGGGGAGUUGUGGUGCCAGGGCUGUUCCCAUCGCCCACCAGUCCACGGAGCCCACUCCCUGCUGAGGGUGAGCAUGUGACUGAGGCCCAGCCAACCAGAGUGCUGCUGGCAGCCACACAGGGCCCAGCGAGUGGGCACUCGGAGCACAGGACACAGGUUGGCGAGGGCCAAGGAGAUGCCUGUCCACGGUGCGCAGGACCGCGUGGCCGAGCCCAGGGGAAGCGGGGUCGCGAGGCCUGGCCCCUGGUGGGGGAGCGCCUGGGCCGUUCCCUCUCCCCUCCUGGGCCGCGGUCCUGCUUCCGGCCUGGCGUCCCGGGUGGGCUCCUCCUGCAGGGAGGCAGUGGGGCUUGGCUUUCCACCUGCUGUGAUUUGCGUCCUGACUCGUGCUGUUCUUCCUCUUCGAGCCUGUCUCCCCUUCCACGGAUCAGGGGGAGAGAGCAGGCUGGGGGGCGCCCCUAGCUGAGGAUGCUCCUCCGCCUUCCCCAGACCCUCCGUCGGCUCCACAGAUCUGACUUCGUGCGCCAGUCCCCGCUGUCCUUCCCCAGGAGGGGACAUUCUGGCCACCCCCCUCCUGCAGACCAGCAGACCGAGACCCCCUUCGUGAGGGCCAGGGGCGCCCCCGGGCAGGUGGCCGUCGCCUCUGACCCGGCCGGGGCGGCCCCGGCUCGGAGCGUUUCCUGCCGGCCCGCCCCAGCCCAGCCCCGCAGGAAGUGGCCGCCUCCUGAACAAAGGGACCGGCGGACAAUGGCCAUUGAAUUGGGCCGGGGCGCUCGCGAACGGACAGGCCGCCAGCUGCCCGCGCUGAUAAGACCCUGCUCCGCGGCACCCGGCGCGGGGGCGGACGCCCGCUCCGGCCUGGCACGGCCCUGUCGCGGCCAC
Molecule: non-coding RNA, 2650 nt
Organism: Manis javanica (Malayan pangolin)
Lineage: Eukaryota; Metazoa; Chordata; Mammalia; Pholidota; Manidae
Source: RefSeq, a predicted model, not a curated record